RNAcentral lists this unclassified non-coding RNA (264 nucleotides) under Hevea brasiliensis (rubber tree). The record is from RNAcentral. Lineage: Eukaryota; Viridiplantae; Streptophyta; Magnoliopsida; Malpighiales; Euphorbiaceae.
CACCUUGAAGCUCUGCUGCAAGAUCCACGGCAAUUUUAUAGUCUUACUCACAUAACCGAGUAUGAUUAUUUACAUUGGCAAGAAUCAGUAGGUAGUUAUUGUGGAACCAAGUACGUCCAACGAUAAACCACUGUAUGGAACAAUGAAACACACAUACAUUAAUUUGCUUAUAUUGCCUGAAAUUAUGGAUCAUGCAGCAGAGCUUCAAGGUGAAUGGGCAAAAACAUAUCGAAGUUGGAUGCCAUCUCACAUGGAUUCCAGGUU